AAUGGGGGAAACCCUGAUCCAGCGACGCCGCGUGUGUGAAGAAGGCCUGCGGGUUGUAAAGCACUUUUAGUGGGGAUGAAAAGCUCAGGGCUAAUACCCCUGGGUCUUGACCUAACCCAAAGAAAAAGCACCGGCUAACUCUGUGCCAGCAGCCGCGGUAAUACAGAGGGUGCGAGCGUUAAUCGGAAUUACUGGGCGUAAAGCGUGCGUAGACGGUCAUCUAAGUCGGAUGUGAAAUCCCCGGGCUCAACCUGGGAAUUGCAUUCGAUACUGGAUGGCUAGGGUGCGGAAGAGGGAAGCGGAAUUUCCGGUGUAGCGGUGAAAUGCGUAGAUAUCGGAAGGAACACCAGUGGCGAAAGCGGCUUCCUGGUCCAGCACCGACGUUCAGGCACGAAAGCGUGGGGAGCAAA
Molecule: ribosomal RNA, 410 nt
Filed under: uncultured bacterium
Lineage: Bacteria
Description: bacterial SSU rRNA
Rfam family: Bacterial small subunit ribosomal RNA
Source: RNAcentral